This 460-nucleotide ribosomal RNA is filed under the name uncultured bacterium. RNAcentral describes it as "partial 16S ribosomal RNA". It matches the Rfam family "Bacterial small subunit ribosomal RNA", at positions 338 to 795 of the family's 1533-position model. The record is from RNAcentral.
CCUACGGGAGGCAGCAGUGAGGAAUAUUGGUCAAUGGACGGAAGUCUGAACCAGCCAUGCCGCGUGCAGGAUGACGGCUCUAUGAGUUUUACACUGCUUUUGUACGAGAAUAAUUCUUCUUACGUGUAGUGAUUUGAAUGUAUUGUACGAAUAAGUAUCGGCUAACUCCGUUCCAGCAGCCCCGGUAAUACGGAGGAUCCGAGCGUUAUCCGGAUUUAUUGGGUUUAAAGGGUGCGUAGGCGGUAUGAUAAGUUAGAGGUCAAAGGUCGGGGCUUAACCCCUUGACUGCCUCUGAUACUGUUCGACUAGAGAGGGGAUGCAGUAGGCGGAAUGAGUAGUGUAGCGGUGAAAUGCUUAGAGAUUACGCAGAACACCGAUUGCGGAGGCAGCUUGCUAAUCCGCAUCUGACGCUGAUGCACGAAAGCGUGGGUAGCGAACAGGAUUAGAUACCCCAGUAGUC